GCAAGUCGAGCGCGAAAGCACUUCGGUGUGAGUAGAGCGGCGGACGGGUUAGUAACGCGUGGGAACGUGCCCUUCUCUAAGGAAUAGCCACUGGAAACGGUGAGUAAUACCUUAUACGCCCUUCGGGGGAAAGAUUUAUCGGAGAAGGAUCGGCCCGCGUUAGAUUAGAUAGUUGGUGGGGUAAUGGCCUACCAAGUCUACGAUCUAUAGCUGGUUUUAGAGGAUGAUC
Molecule: ribosomal RNA, 229 nt
Filed under: uncultured bacterium
Lineage: Bacteria
Description: partial 16S ribosomal RNA
Rfam family: Bacterial small subunit ribosomal RNA
Source: RNAcentral